GAUGAACGCUGGCGGCGUGCCUAAUACAUGCAAGUCGAGCGAACAGACGAGGAGCUUGCUCCUCUGACGUUAGCGGCGGACGGGUGAGUAACACGUGGAUAACCUACCUAUAAGACUGGGAUAACUUCGGGAAACCGGAGCUAAUACCGGAUAAUAUGUUGAAUCGCAUGGUUCAACAGUGAAAGACGGUCUUGCUGUCACUUAUAGAUGGAUCCGCGCCGCAUUAGCUAGUUGGUAAGGUGACGGCUUACCAAGGCAACGAUGCGUAGCCGACCUGAGAGGGUGAUCGGCCACACUGGAACUGAGACACGGUCCAGACUCCUACGGGAGGCAGCAGUAGGGAAUCUUCCGCAAUGGGCGAAAGCCUGACGGAGCAACGCCGCGUGAGUGAAGAAGGUCUUCGGAUCGUAAAACUCUGUUAUUAGGGAAGAACAAAUGUGUAAGUAACUAUGCACGUCUUGACGGUACCUAAUCAGAAAGCCACGGCUAACUACGUG
RNAcentral lists this ribosomal RNA (497 nucleotides) under uncultured bacterium. Its description in RNAcentral is "partial 16S ribosomal RNA". It matches the Rfam family "Bacterial small subunit ribosomal RNA", at positions 28 to 507 of the family's 1533-position model. The record is from RNAcentral.